Non-coding RNA from Musa acuminata subsp. malaccensis (wild Malaysian banana), 1398 nucleotides. The record is from RefSeq and is a predicted model, not a curated record. NCBI's taxonomy places the organism in Eukaryota, Viridiplantae, Streptophyta, Magnoliopsida, Zingiberales, Musaceae.
GCCCCCCGGCUGCCUCUCUCUCUCUCUCUCCUCUCUCUCGUUCUAGGGUUUCCUCGGUCUUCGAUUUGCUGAAGGAAUUUAGGGCUGGGGAGGAUUCGAGCGCGCGAGAGAGAUCUGGGGAUGAGCGGAAACCCUAACCCAGCCGCCGACGCGAAGCCGGCGGGCGCCGGUCGAUUCCGGGGCCUCGGCAUGCACCAUUUGGCGGAUGAACACCAUGUCCUGCCCUCCGUGAUUCUUCCGGCUCAGAUCGACGACCCCAGCGCUGUCGGCCGUAGCGGUGAGUUGAUUGCGGCUGCCGACGCUCAGACCUUGCAGCAGUACCACGAAGCGGAUCACAGCAGCGGCAGCCAUGGCAUGGAGGAGGAUGGGGUUGGGGCCGUGGAGAACGAGGGAAUGGAGACGGAAGAGCCGGCUGAUCCGAGUCAUCUCGGUGAUGCCCAAGGUCUGAUCGCGCCGCAAGUGGGCGGUAACCAGCUGACGCUCUCUUUUCAGGGAGAAGUCUUCGUUUUUGAUUCCGUAUCCCCAGAAAAGGUUCAAGCUGUGCUUUUGUUGCUAGGAGGUCGGGAGAUGCAGACUAGCUUGAAUCCUUUUCCAUCAUCUUCUAUGCAGAACAAGCGCAUGAAUGUUCCACAUAGAGUUGCAUCCUUGAUGCGGUUCCGGGAGAAGCGGAAAGAGCGGAAUUUUGAAAAGAAAAUACGUUACACUGUUCGCAAAGAGGUCGCGCUGAGGAUGCAACGAAAUAGGGGUCAAUUUACAUCAUCUAAAUCGAAGACUGAAGAUUCCACAGGUGGUGCUACCACUUCUGAUGCUAACCAAAAUUGGGGUUCUCCAGAGAAUAAGAUCCCAGCGGCAUCUGCAUUGAUUUCAUAUUUCUGGAUUUUUCAGAAGUGUGAAAUAUUAGGAGGUGAUGUGUUUUAGAAGAUGUCACCACUGUGGCAUCAAUGCAAAGUCUACGCCGAUGAUGCGCCGUGGGCCUGAUGGACCGAGGACUUUAUGUAAUGCAUGUGGACUUGUGUGGGCAAACAAGGGAAUAAUGAGGGAUCUAUCGAAAAAUCCAUCUCCAGCUAUUCUCAAUGCUUCGCCAGAACCAAAAGAAGGGCAGAACAACUCUGCCGAAGCUGCCAUCUCCCAGUCGAUCGCUGUGGCAGCAAACGGUCAUGACACAUCAUGAGAGGUGCUGUGCCAUCAGAACCAAAGCCUCCAGUGAAGAAGAGAUGGCUGGUUGAACAGGGGAAUUAAUCCUCCUUGGCCCUUCCAGAUUGUGUAAUGUUAUUUAACAUGUACCAUAUUCUGAGAGUUAAUAUUAGGAUCUUUCUGGCUCCUUGCUGGUAUUAAUACUAAGGCAACCUUGUUACAGUUAAAUGUUAAUUUGUGGGUGAUUCAUCUUGCAAAAUAUCA